CGCUGGCGGCGUGCCUAACACAUGCAAGUCAACUUGACUGAAGAGCAAUCUGACAGUAGAGUGGCGCAAGGGUGCGUAACGCGUAAGUAACUUGCCCAAGGUAAGGAAUAACGUCGAGAAAUCGGCGCUAAUACCUCAUAAUGCAGCGGAUCCGCAUGGAUAUGUUGUUAAAGGUUUACCGCCUUGGGAUAGGCUUGCGUCUGAUUAGCUAGUUGGUGUGGUAACGGCACACCAAGGCUACGAUCAGUAACUGGUCUGAGAGGAUGAUCAGUCACACUGGAACUGAGACACGGUCCAGACUCCUACGGGAGGCAGCAGUGAGGAAUAUUGGGCAAUGCUCGAAAGAGUGACCCAGCAACGCCGCGUGGAGGAUGAAGGUAUUCUAUAUCGUAAACUCCUGUGAGAGCAGACGAAAGACAGAUUAUUAAUCUGGAUGACUGUAUGCUCAGAGGAAGCCCCGGCUAACUACGUG
Molecule: ribosomal RNA, 472 nt
Filed under: uncultured bacterium
Lineage: Bacteria
Description: bacterial SSU rRNA
Rfam family: Bacterial small subunit ribosomal RNA
Source: RNAcentral